Molecule: ribosomal RNA, 441 nt
Filed under: uncultured marine bacterium
Lineage: Bacteria
Description: bacterial SSU rRNA
Rfam family: Bacterial small subunit ribosomal RNA
Source: RNAcentral
AAUAUUGGGCAAUGGAGGCAACUCUGACCCAGCCAUGCCGCGUGCAGGAGGAAUGUUUUAUGAAUUGUAUACUGCUUUUGUAUCAGAAGAAAUGUUUAGACGUGUAGAGAUUUCCCGACCUCAAAGAAUGAGCACCGUCUAUCUCCGUCAGCGCAGCCGGUAUAAUGCAGAGGGCGCAAUCUUUAUCCGUAUUCAUUAGGUUUGGGGUCGGCGUAUGUGGUUUUCAAAUUCAGUGGUGAAAUCCAGGAGUUCACCUGCAGAUUUGCUUUUGAUAUGGUAAAUUUGGAUCCUAGAGAAUGGACGUAAAUAUGACAUGGGGAAUAAUUGCAUGAUAUAUCAUAGCACAUCAGGAGGAGGUUCACUCACUAAAUUGGAACUGACGGUCAGGGACGAAAGCGUGGGGAGCGAACUGGAUUAGAUACCCGGGUAGUCCACGCCCUA